This 253-nucleotide ribosomal RNA is filed under the name uncultured bacterium. Its description in RNAcentral is "partial 16S ribosomal RNA". It matches the Rfam family "Bacterial small subunit ribosomal RNA", at positions 524 to 776 of the family's 1533-position model. The record is from RNAcentral.
UACGUAGGGUGCAAGCGUUAAUCGGAAUUACUGGGCGUAAAGCGUGCGCAGGCGGUCUUGCAAGACAGAUGUGAAAUCCCCGGGCUUAACCUGGGAGCUGCAUUUGUGACUGCAAGGCUGGAGUGCGGCAGAGGGGGAUGGAAUUCCGCGUGUAGCAGUGAAAUGCGUAGAUAUGCGGAGGAACACCGAUGGCGAAGGCAAUCCCCUGGGCCUGCACUGACGCUCAUGCACGAAAGCGUGGGGAGCAAACAGG